RNAcentral lists this ribosomal RNA (528 nucleotides) under uncultured bacterium. RNAcentral describes it as "bacterial SSU rRNA". It matches the Rfam family "Bacterial small subunit ribosomal RNA", at positions 62 to 622 of the family's 1533-position model. The record is from RNAcentral.
UCGAACGAGAAAGUGGAGCAAUCCAUGAGUACAGUGGCGUACGGGUGAGUAACACGUGACUAACCUACCCUCGAGUGGGGAAUAACUUCGGGAAACCGAGGCUAAUACCGCAUAAUGUCUACGGACCAAAUGCGUAAGCAGCUUGAGGAGGGGGUCGCGGCUGAUUAGCUUGUUGGCGGGGUAACGGCCCACCAAGGCAAUGAUCAGUAGCCGGCCUGAGAGGGCGCACGGCCACACUGGAACUGAAACACGGUCCAGACUCCUACGGGAGGCAGCAGUGGGGAAUUUUGCGCAACGGGGGAAACCCUGACGCAGCAACGCCGCGUGGAGGAUGAAGCCCCUUGGGGUGUAAACUCCUUUCGAUCGGGACGAUUAUGACGGUACCGGAUGAAGAAGCACCGGCUAACUCUGUGCCAGCAGCCGCGGUAAUACAGAGGGUGCAAGCGUUGUUCGGAAUUAUUGGGCGUAAAGGGUGCGUAGGCGGUGCGGUAAGUCUUCUGUGAAACCUCCGGGCUUAACUCGGAGCCU